Molecule: ribosomal RNA, 257 nt
Filed under: uncultured bacterium
Lineage: Bacteria
Description: partial 16S ribosomal RNA
Rfam family: Bacterial small subunit ribosomal RNA
Source: RNAcentral
UACGGAGGGUGCAAGCGUUAUCCGGAUUCACUGGGUUUAAAGGGUGCGUAGGAGGGCAGGUAAGUCAGUGGUGGAAAUCUUCGAGCUUAACUCGGAAACUGCCGUUGAUACUAUCUGUCUUGAAUACCGUGGAGAUGAGCGGAAAUAUGUCAUGUAGCGGUGAAAUGCCUUAGAUAUGACUUAGAACACCAAUUGCGAAGGCAGCUUGCUAAACAAAUAUUGACGCUGGAGGCACGAAAGCGUGGGGAUCAAACAGG